Molecule: ribosomal RNA, 1189 nt
Filed under: Streptomyces sp. AC39
Lineage: Bacteria; Bacillati; Actinomycetota; Actinomycetes; Kitasatosporales; Streptomycetaceae
Description: bacterial SSU rRNA
Rfam family: Bacterial small subunit ribosomal RNA
Source: RNAcentral
CACAUUAUGAUCACGUGUAAUCGGAUACCAUGGUAGCCGUAUGGGGUGGAUUAUGUGGCGAACGAAAAUAAGUAACACGUGGGCAAUCUGCCCUGAUGUCUGGGACAAGCCCUGGAAACGGGGUCUAAUACCGGAUAUGACCGUCCAUCGCAUGGUGGAUGGUGUAAAGCUCCGGCGGUGCAGGAUGAGCCCGCGGCCUAUCAGCUAGUUGGUGAGGUAGUGGCUCACCAAGGCGACGACGGGUAGCCGGCCUGAGAGGGCGACCGGCCACACUGGGACUGAGACACGGCCCAGACUCCUACGGGAGGCAGCAGUGGGGAAUAUUGCACAAUGGGCGAAAGCCUGAUGCAGCGACGCCGCGUGAGGGAUGACGGCCUUCGGGUUGUAAACCUCUUUCAGCAGGGAAGAAGCGAAAGUGACGGUACCUGCAGAAGAAGCGCCGGCUAACUACGUGCCAGCAGCCGCGGUAAUACGUAGGGCGCAAGCGUUGUCCGGAAUUAUUGGGCGUAAAGAGCUCGUAGGCGGCUUGUCACGUCGGUUGUGAAAGCCCGGGGCUUAACCCCGGGUCUGCAGUCGAUACGGGCAGGCUAGAGUUCGGUAGGGGAGAUCGGAAUUCCUGGUGUACCGGCGAAAUGCGACUCAUGCUAUCGAGGUUCCAUUCCCUCCAGACCGGGGAAUAAAAUACCUAUGGGCCCCCGGUCUCCCGUGGCUGUUACAGAAAUUUCGUGCACGAUGAACGGGUGGGUGCUGAUAAACCUGUCCGGGCAACGUAUAUCGCAACGCGAAGAACCUUACCAAGGCUUGACAUACACCGGAAAGCCUCAGAGAUGGUGCCCCCCUUGUGGUCGGUGUACAGGUGGUGCAUGGCUGUCGUCAGCUCGUGUCGUGAGAUGGUGGGGUUAAGUCCCGCAACGAGCGCAACCCUUGUCCCGUGUUGCCAGCAGGCCCUUGUGGUGCUGGGGACUCACGGGAGACCGCCGGGGUCAACUCGGAGGAAGGUGGGGACGACGUCAAGUCAUCAUGCCCCUUAUGUCUUGGGCUGCACACGUGCUACAAUGGCCGGUACAAUGAGCUGCGAUACCGUGAGGUGGAGCGAAUCUCAAAAAGCCGGUCUCAGUUCGGAUUGGGGUCCGCAACUCGACCCCAUGAACUCGGAGUCGCUAGUAAUCGCAGAUCAGCAGGGCUGCGG